AAAAAAUUACAUUGCCAUGCAAGAAAAAUGGUUUCCACGUAUCAUAGGUAAAAAAACAAACAGGAAAAUGUAUCCUGCUUAUAAAAAGGAGCUCAGCUCUUUGAAAAAAACACAGCAGAACACAACACUAACCAUAUAAAGCCAAAACAACAGUUUUAUUUAAUGUGGCUGAUUGUUUUUCCUUUAUUGCUUCAGUAUAAAAGCUUUCCUUAUUUUAUUUUUUUACAAUCUGCCAAAGCAAAGCCUUUUAAUAGUGAACUAUAGCAAGAUGGCUGCUAAAUGUUAAAGGUAGAACUAAAGUGGAUUGUAUUCUUGUGCACUGAACUUUUGUAAAUAAUCAUACUACAUAUUCUCAAAUUAUAUUUCUCAAUUUUUUGAACCUAGACUGAACAUUGGAAAAAAAAAUCAGUUUAUCCUGCAACCCUACAUUUCAAUUUUUUUUCCAGCACUACUUUCAAAAUGGUAGCAUUUAAUAUUUUUUUCGUUCAAAGAAGAUGGAGUAAACAGAAAGAACCACAAACAUUUGUCAACAAGAUAUUUUGAAAUUUUGAAAAAGCUAAACAAAGGGUUUAUUUUCCCCCAUUUAAAAUGACUUAUUAUUUAUUAAUAAUAGAAACUUGUCAAAAAAAAAUAUUCCUUACCCUACCAUACAAAGUAUUGAAAGGCAACAUCAAACAGAAAAUUCUUUAAGGAUGUUCGCUAAUCUGUUUCAAAAUAACAAGCAUUUAAAAGUACUGUUAUAUAUUAAGAGUGUAUAAAUAAAGGAACUUAAAAAGUGUAAAAAAUGAAGGUUAUAUGUGCUUGUUUUCGUGAUAUGACCCCCGGAAAUUUUGGCAGGAAAUCAUUUUCCUUAGACUUUUCAUACAUUUAACAUUGCCCCCUCUUUCUUUCAAAAAAACAUGAAAAAAGUACAAGAAUUUUAUAGGAAUUUUAAAUAUGGCUUUUGAAACUUUAUGUCAUUAAAUAAUAAGAAAAGUAGGGGUUAGUGGGGAAAUGUUUUCAAUAACACUUCAUUGAUAAAACUGGAAGAUUUCAAAUAUCUUGCAAAAGUUAAAAAAAACCAAGAGGAGCAAACAUCCUUAUUGUAAAAGUAUCUGAAUUAUCUGCCCUUGCAUUUGAGUUGCCUCCCCUUAAUUGACAAAGUUUGGGGAAAAAAUGAAUCAAACAAAGAAUUCUUAUUUUUGUAAAAUACAAUCAUAAAUAUGAUCAAACAUGGCAUUUUCUAUAUUAUAAUGAAAAUUCUUACACAUGAAUUACCUACUACUAUAAAAAUUUGCACAUUUCAUCAAAGAUCUAGACCUUGUUUUCUAGUAUUUCAAAAUCCAAAAUGGAGGAAGACGCCCAUCUACCUUAAAGGGAAAUCACACUAUUGUUUAUACGCAUCGCUCUCGGCGCCGCUAUAGUGUCGUGACUGUAUUAUGACGUCGCCGUUUUCGAGUCCGUCGCAAAGGCUGCUAAUUUAUAAAAUAGUGAGCCGCUCAAAGGGACGUUCCACUAAAGCAGGAAAAUGAUAAUGAACAUAUCAUGUUUUUCACAACUGUGAUAAUUAGAUUAAAAAUACAUUUCCAUAAGGAAGGGUCUGAUUGUAUUGGGGUUUACGGAAUACAGAAUAAUGGUUAAUACUGCAGAAUAAAUUGCAAAAAAAAAGAAGAAAAGAUAAGAGAAUGAUGAGGUGCUAAAAUAUAAAGAAUAAAAAAUAUUGGUAACACAAACUAAAUAUUAAUAAAUGAAUGACCCUCUAUCCAGACCCUUAUGAUAAAAAGAACAUAUCAAUUCAAAACACAUAAUCAUCAUGCAUAAUCAACACUAAGAACGUUGGAAAUUCAUAGCAUAUUCAAUAUAAUUUAGUACACUCUGGAACCAUUUUCUCGAAAACAAAGUCGGUAACAUAUACUUUUUUUCGGCAGCGUAUCGUCGCGAUGCGGUAUGUAGG
This 1933-nucleotide long non-coding RNA is filed under the name Mytilus galloprovincialis (Mediterranean mussel). Lineage: Eukaryota; Metazoa; Mollusca; Bivalvia; Mytilida; Mytilidae. The record is from RNAcentral.